GUAGGGAAUCUUGCGCAAUGGGCGAAAGCCUGACGCAGCCAUGCCGCGUGAAUGAUGAAGGUCUUAGGAUUGUAAAAUUCUUUCACCGGGGACGAUAAUGACGGUACCCGGAGAAGAAGCUCCGGCUAACUUCGUGCCAGCAGCCGCGGUAAUACGAAGGGGGCUAGCGUUGCUCGGAAUUACUGGGCGUAAAGGGCGCGUAGGCGGACAGCUUAGUCAGAGGUGAAAGCCCAGGGCUCAACCUUGGAAUUGCCUUUGAUACUGGCUGUCUUGAGUUUGGGAGAGGUGAGUGGAACUCCGAGUGUAGAGGUGAAAUUCGUAGAUAUUCGGAAGAACACCAGUGGCGAAGGCGACUCACUGGCCCAAUACUGACGCUGAGGCGCGAAAGCGUGGGGAGCAAACAGGAUUAGAAACCCUGGUAGUCC
This 425-nucleotide ribosomal RNA is filed under the name uncultured bacterium. RNAcentral's name for it is "partial 16S ribosomal RNA". It matches the Rfam family "Bacterial small subunit ribosomal RNA", at positions 354 to 796 of the family's 1533-position model. The record is from RNAcentral.